CAUCCAUCUGCCACGGGUGCGGCCCUAAAAAGACAAAAAGCACAUUCCUGGACCUCAGUCCUUUCCUACUGAAUCGACCUCUGGAAGGUAGAACCUAGAAAUCUGAAGUUUUUAAAAGUGUGCCAGCAAGCCUCCUCUCUCAGAUUGGCCGUGAGCUUGACGUGCAGGCUGCAGCAGGAGUCCUGAGCCAGCUCUUUGAGAGCUUACUGUGUACAAGGGCCAGGGUGACAGAGGAUACAUCAGGAACACAAAGUCGGCAGCUGUACCCUCACUAGCACACCAGCCAUGACAGAAAUCAGAAAGCAGCAGCAGCAGCCGGGCUGUGUCAACCAUGCAGGUGGACAGGUCGCAUCUGGAGAGACUGAUUCAGCAAGUCUGAGGCCCAUGGGAAUCUGCAUUGGCCGCCCCGCCACCAACAUGCAUGUCCCACCCCCUCCUGGUGGGGCUGGCAUCUGAGCCACGUCCUUCAGACAAACCAACACUAGCUGACCCGCAGUGACCUGCACCUGUCCUCUGCCCUUCCCCUGCUUCAUUGUCCAGCUCUCUCCUCUUCUGCCAUCAAACCUGGGCCCAAUGGGAGUUCCUGCUGCGGCACAGUGGCACAACUCAGGUUGCUACAGAGGCACUGGUUUGAUCCCUGCCCGGCGCAGUGGGUUAAAGGAUACGGCGUUGCUGCAGCUGAGGUAUAGGGUGCAAUUGGUGGCUUGGAUUCAGUCCCUGGCCGGGAAACUUCCAUAUGCCCUGGGUGCCGCCAUAAAAAACAAAACAAAACAAAAAACCCUGGCUCAAUGGCACACAUCCCCACCCCUCCCCGGCUUCACUGUGACCUAUGCAACUACAACUUGAUAAGCUUCCAGCAGACACACUGCAACCUCUCAUUUGCUCAGCUGCCCCCAUAGGUCAGGGCCCCCUCACUAGAGGAUAAGCUCCCUGCCACCUACCUGGGACCCAGUGACAUUUCUAGAAUGGCAUGUGAGGCCAGAGCAAUGAGAGGGUGCCUGUGAGACCCACACGCCCACAGCCAAGUC
Long non-coding RNA from Sus scrofa (pig), 1028 nucleotides. RefSeq lists it as uncharacterized. The record is from RefSeq and is a predicted model, not a curated record. Lineage: Eukaryota; Metazoa; Chordata; Mammalia; Artiodactyla; Suidae.